RNAcentral lists this ribosomal RNA (447 nucleotides) under uncultured bacterium. RNAcentral describes it as "partial 16S ribosomal RNA". It matches the Rfam family "Bacterial small subunit ribosomal RNA", at positions 29 to 523 of the family's 1533-position model. The record is from RNAcentral.
AACGAACGCUGGCGGCAGGCUUAACACAUGCAAGUCGAACGCCCCGCAAGGGGAGUGGCAGACGGGUGAGUAACGCGUGGGAAUCUACCCAUCCCUACGGAACAACUCCGGGAAACUGGAGCUAAUACCGUAUACGCCCUACGGGGGAAAGAUUUAUCGGGGAUGGAUGAGCCCGCGUUGGAUUAGCUAGUUGGUGGGGUAAAGGCCUACCAAGGCGACGAUCCAUAGCUGGUCUGAGAGGAUGAUCAGCCACAUUGGGACUGAGACACGGCCCAAACUCCUACGGGAGGCAGCAGGGGGGAAUAUUGGACAAUGGGCGCGAGCCUGAUCCAGCCAUGCCGCGUGAGUGAUGAAGGUCUUAGGAUUGUAAAGCUCUUUCACCGAUGAAGAUAAUGACGGUAGUCGGAGAAGAAGCCCCGGCUAACUUCGUGCCAGCAGCCGCCGUAA